ACCAGCAUGGUGUAGUGGUCUGAGCAUUGGACUAGGACUCUGGAGACCGGGGUUCAAAUCCCUGUUCCAUUA
Non-coding RNA from Phrynosoma platyrhinos (Desert horned lizard), 72 nucleotides. The record is from the annotation of a GenBank genome assembly. Lineage: Eukaryota; Metazoa; Chordata; Lepidosauria; Squamata; Phrynosomatidae.